This is a long non-coding RNA of Capsicum annuum, 977 nucleotides long. RefSeq lists it as uncharacterized. The record is from RefSeq and is a predicted model, not a curated record. The transcript has 3 exons. NCBI's taxonomy places the organism in Eukaryota, Viridiplantae, Streptophyta, Magnoliopsida, Solanales, Solanaceae.
UUAUUUACUUUUAAAAUAAUAAUUAUUAUAGUUUUUUUUUUUUUUUAAAAUCCCAAUUCAAGAGGGUGAGCUCCCUUCUCUCUCAAAUCCGUCUGUCUCAAAACUCCCUCUCUCAAAUUUGUUUCUUCCCUCUCUCAAAUUCGAGCUUCUCUCAAAUCCGCCGUCGGCUCUUUCAUUCCAAGAAAAGGAACUUGGGAGAUCAAUAACUCAGGCCGAGGCAUUCAAAGCUACACACACAAGGAAGAAGAAAAUCCAUGGAGAUCCUGAUGUUUGGGUUGAGCCACGAGCUCAGCUCAGCUGACCUAUAAUCGAUAUUUGCCAUUCAUAGAGGAUUUUCGCCAAAUUCUGCUAGAAGAUAGUCGGGACCUACCACUUAGUCAAAGAGCAGAAUGAGAGAAUAUGGUUAGAUGCGGUGGGUGGCCUGAGUAGGUAUGGAUAUGCUUAUGAAUUGCCCCAACAAACGUUUCGUGAAUUUCAUUUGGAACUAGAAGGCGUCAGUAGUCCCACGAUAACGAUGAUGAGUCAAAGAAGACGAUUUUGGCUUUGAAGCGGCAAAUAGCUGAGCUAUCUAGCGAAGCCAAGGCCUCGCAGGAUGGGGAAAGGCAAAAGGAUAUACAGUAUAUGCAAAGGCCCAAUUCGAUGCAUUACUUGCUUCCAGGGGAUUCCCCCUUGUCCCAAUGAUGUAGUAUGCCUCCUUGAUCACCCUAUCUACCUAUUUCAUAUGAAGUAUAUGGUCAAUACAGAGAUGUGAUUGAGGAGCCCAUCAGAGAUGAAGAUUAUGAGGAUUACUAUGUGGACAUACACCGACGCAUUGUUAAAGUUGAAUAUUGUGUUAGAUAAUCUAAACUUUAUACUUUAUGAUGGCUUAUUUGAAUUAUUAAGUGUUUUUGAAUGCAUUAAAAAUUUAAAGUAGUCUGAACAUUACGACUUCCAUAUUUUGUUCGUUCAAUUUCAAGUUAUUUAAAUUUGAUUUUCAA